This 340-nucleotide ribosomal RNA is filed under the name uncultured fungus. RNAcentral describes it as "eukaryotic LSU rRNA". The stretch from base 1 to 126 matches the Rfam family "5.8S ribosomal RNA", at positions 29 to 154 of the family's 154-position model. The record is from RNAcentral. Lineage: Eukaryota; Fungi.
UGCAUCGAUGAAGAACGCAGCGAAAUGCGAUAAGUAAUGUGAAUUGCAGAAUUCAGUGAAUCAUCGAAUCUUUGAACGCACAUUGCGCCCAUUAGUAUUCUAGUGGGCAUGCCUGUUCGAGCGUCAUUUCAACCCCUAAGCACAGCUUAUUGUUGGGCGUCUACGUCUGUAGUGCCUCAAAGACAUUGGCGGAGCGGCAGCAGUCCUCUGAGCGUAGUAAUUCUUUAUCUCGCUUCUGUUAGGCGCUGCCCCCCCGGCCGUAAAACCCCCAAUUUUUUCUGGUUGACCUCGGAUCAGGUAGGAAUACCCGCUGAACUUAAGCAUAUCAAUAAGCGGAGGA